RNAcentral lists this unclassified non-coding RNA (647 nucleotides) under Portunus trituberculatus (swimming crab). Its description in RNAcentral is "uncharacterized LOC123516750, transcript variant X1". Lineage: Eukaryota; Metazoa; Arthropoda; Malacostraca; Decapoda; Portunidae. The record is from RNAcentral.
AAUCAUCUCAGUGGCCUUGGAAAAAAGACGUGGUGAGAGAGCAGACUGUUUCUGAUUACGGACCCGAGACGCGGUGAGAAACUGCAUAGCGUGAAACGGGUCUGGCUGGCGAUACACUAUACGAAUACUACCUCGGUUUGAUCAGGGAGAUACUGCAUUUCACUGCAUGGUGUCCUCACAGAGCUCUUCAGAACAUGAUGGAUAUGAAGAUAUAAUUGAUGCCCUGGGAUGAGGAACACAAGCCACAUUUCAAAAGUGCUGCCAUUCAGUCAGAUAUAUGAUUGAAAUUUCAGCAACCUAAAUGAAGACUCCUCCAUCCAGGUUCCACUCCUUGGGGAGGAAGUCUCUACUACUGCUGAGCAUAGUGGAGGUGGUGCCAUGGAGCAUGAAGACCCCACCGUCACUACUGGUGCCAGGCAGCACUCCUUGCGACCUGCAAGUCUUGCUAGAGAGACACCUUACUUGUCAUCAAUAGUGAGUGCGGACUGGUUCUCCAAUGCGGUGAAGGAUCUCCCGUGACAGCGAAAGGUACUGGCGGAGCUAUCAAGGUCAUUCCUACCAUCUGUACUGGCAACAAGGCAGCGACUGUCAUUAACGAAAAAUACAGACAAAAAAAAACUUAGUGUGUUAAUUUUAUUUGUAUUUUU